Molecule: transfer RNA, 117 nt
Filed under: Hanseniaspora osmophila
Lineage: Eukaryota; Fungi; Ascomycota; Saccharomycetes; Saccharomycodales; Saccharomycodaceae
Rfam family: tRNA
About the family: Transfer RNA (tRNA) molecules are approximately 80 nucleotides in length. Their secondary structure includes four short double-helical elements and three loops (D, anti-codon, and T loops). Further hydrogen bonds mediate the characteristic L-shaped molecular structure. tRNAs have two regions of fundamental functional importance: the anti-codon, which is responsible for specific mRNA codon recognition, and the 3' end, to which the tRNAs corresponding amino acid is attached (by aminoacyl-tRNA synthetases). tRNAs cope with the degeneracy of the genetic code in two manners: having more than one tRNA (with a specific anti-codon) for a particular amino acid; and 'wobble' base-pairing, i.e. permitting non-standard base-pairing at the 3rd anti-codon position.
Source: Rfam by way of RNAcentral
ACCUUGGUGGCGCAAUCGGUAGCGCGUUAGACUCUUACAAAUUGAGGAGUUACUCCACUGAAAAAUUCGGUAUUUCGAGGAAUCUGAAUGUUGCGGGUUCGACCCCCGUCCAGGGUG